Molecule: long non-coding RNA, 985 nt
Filed under: Homo sapiens (human)
Lineage: Eukaryota; Metazoa; Chordata; Mammalia; Primates; Hominidae
Description: HSALNT0365937
Source: RNAcentral
GUGGAACAUGAUGAAUAAGGAGGGUUCAGGAGACGCUUCCCUCAGGAAGUGACAUGUAAGAUGGAACAUGAUGAAUAAGAUGUAAGGUGGAACAUGAUGAAUAAGGAGGGUUCAGGAGAAGCUUCCCUCAGGAAGUGACGUUUAAGGUGGAACAUGAUGAAUAAGGAGGGUUCAGGAGAAGCUUCCCUCAGGAAGUGACGUUUAAGGUGGAACAUGAUGAAUAAGGAGGGUUCAGGAGAAGCUUCCCUCAGGAAGUGACGUUUAAGGUGGAACAUGAUGAAUAAGGAGGGCUCCGCCAGGCAACAAGGUGGCUGCAGAGCGCAUCACACACAACGGGCAGCACACGCAACAGCUCUGGGCAUGUGUGGGAAAAUGAAAGUGAGCCAAGGGAGCAGAACUACACUGAGCAAGAGGCCACUGCAGGGAGGGAAAAUCAGAGCAGUCAUAAGAAGCUCAAGGCUUUCGGCUUUGCACCAAGAGCAACAGAAAGCCCCUAAAGAAUUCUGCGAAAGGGGAUGAAAAGAGUAGUAUACUUAAUUAUAUUUAGAGUACGAACUCAAUUAUUUUUUAAAAUGUACAGAAAUGACUAGAAGUAGAUAUAUUACAAAUACUGAAUUGUUGCAAUACUGCCCUGAUAGUAAGAUUAUAAAUAUUUUUAUGCACACUUUUCAAGCUUCCCAAAUUUAUACUAUCCAUAAAUUCCUACAGUUAAAGAAAAAAAAAAAAAAACCCACACCCCCAAACACAGCACUGGAGUAGCUCCCUUCUUCCCUUGCCUCAGGCAACUUUUCCAUCCAUUGCACACAUUUAUUUGCAUGAUACAUCCUUGAUCCAGACUUAGUCGGCUAUAAAUUCUAAGUGAUAACUUGUCUCUGCCCCUCCACUUCACCCACUACCAAAGCUGUAACUCAGAUGACAACAAUUUUUUUUUUUUUUGACACGGGGUUUUACUCUGUCACCCAAGCUGGAGUGCAGUGACACAAUC